UGCGUAGGGGGCGAGCGUUGUCCGGAAUGACUGGGCGUAAAGGGUGCGUAGGCGGCCCGAGAGGUCCUGGGUGAAAGGCCCCGGCUCAACCGGGGAGGGCCCCAGGAAACCGGCGGGCUAGAGGGCUGGAGAGGGCCGCGGAAUUCCCGGUGUAGCGGUGAAAUGCGUAGAUAUCGGGAAGAACACCAGUGGCGAAGGCGGGUCUCUGGACAGUUCCUGACACUGAGGCACGAAGGCCAGGGGAGCAAACGGG
Molecule: ribosomal RNA, 253 nt
Filed under: uncultured bacterium
Lineage: Bacteria
Description: partial 16S ribosomal RNA
Rfam family: Bacterial small subunit ribosomal RNA
Source: RNAcentral